UUGGAGGGCAAGUCUGGUGCCAGCAGCCGCGGUAAUUCCAGCUCCAAUAGCGUAUAUUAAAGUUGCUGCAGUUAAAAAGCUCGUAGUUGAAUUUCGGGACCAAUAUGUCGGUCGUGCCUCGGUACGUACUGGCAUCGUUGGUUUCUUCCUUCUGACGAAUCAUGAUGUCAUUCAUUUGGUGUCGUGGGGAAUCAGGACUGUUACUUUGAAAAAAUUAGAGUGUUUAAAGCAGGCUCACGCUUGAAUACAUUAGCAUGGAAUAAUGAAAUAGGACGUUUGAUUCUAUUUUGUUGGUUUCUAGGAUCGACGUAAUGAUUAAUAGGGAUAGUUGGG
This 333-nucleotide ribosomal RNA is filed under the name Glomus sp. RNAcentral describes it as "SSU rRNA". It matches the Rfam family "Eukaryotic small subunit ribosomal RNA", at positions 548 to 886 of the family's 1831-position model. Lineage: Eukaryota; Fungi; Glomeromycota; Glomeromycetes; Glomerales; Glomeraceae. The record is from RNAcentral.